This 253-nucleotide ribosomal RNA is filed under the name uncultured bacterium. RNAcentral describes it as "partial 16S ribosomal RNA". It matches the Rfam family "Bacterial small subunit ribosomal RNA", at positions 524 to 776 of the family's 1533-position model. The record is from RNAcentral.
UACGAGGGGGGCGAGCGUUGUUCGGAAUUAUUGGGCGUAAAGGGCGCGUAGGCGGUGCGGUAAGUCACCUGUGAAAACUCUGGGCUUAACUCAGAGCCUGCAGGCGAAACUGCCGUGCUGGAGUGUGGGAGAGGUGCGUGGAAUUCCCGGUGUGGCGGUGAAAUGCGUAGAUAUCGGGAGGAACACCUGUGGCGAAAGCGGCGCACUGGACCACAACUGACGCUGAGGCGCGAAAGCUAGGGGAGCAAACAGG